Magallana angulata is the source of this 8403-nucleotide RNA transcript. It is a transcript of the gene named alsin-like, with no coding region annotated. The record is from RefSeq and is a predicted model, not a curated record. NCBI's taxonomy places the organism in Eukaryota, Metazoa, Mollusca, Bivalvia, Ostreida, Ostreidae. The transcript is spliced from 28 exons.
UAUUCCUGCCACAAACUCAGGUGAGAAGACGAAAACAAAUGUUGACAUUGUUGUUUUGUUUAUUUGUUCAUUGAUGGGAAGUGUCAAUUUGAAUGUUAAUCAAGACAUAGGAAGUACAAUUUAAGGAAAAAGCCAUGAUAGAGAGCAGACAUCGGGGUGAAUAGAUGUAAUGGCAGACCAAAAAGAUAGAGAAAAGGGCAAAGACGAAAAAGAUGGUCUCCUGUAUAUGUGGCAAGGUUACCAUGGAGAUGUGGAGGUGGUUAAGUUUCCCGCCCUGUUUGGCAUUCCCAUCAGGAAGGUUGCUAUAGGGACCGACCACUCGGUUUUCUUGACAUUAGAUGGGCGCUUGUUUUCCUGUGGGAGCAAUGUCCAUGGACAGCUGGGAGUGAUUACCGGAGACAAGGAUCAGGCUUAUGAUCCUGUACAGGUGUCUGGAUUAUCAGAUGUCCAGAUAAAGGAUGUGGCUUGCGGUUGUAACCACAGUGCAGCGGUCAGUAGAUUAGGACAGGUGUACUGCUGGGGGGAUUCCCGGGAAUUCCAGUGUGCCUCCACGGAGAAGACAGUGACUGUCCCACAACUAGUCCCGGUCCACCGGGAGACCUUCGACCAUUGUCAGCACGGAGUCCCUAUUGAGGACCAGGUUGACAUUGUAGAGGUGUCCUGUGGAAAGUCCCACACUGUAGCUCUGUCUGGGGCCAGGGAAGUGUGGGUGUGGGGGUCAGGGGAGGGGCUGGGGAUCAAACAGAAAUCCACCGCCUCCCCUGUUCUGUUGGAGAGACUCGUGGGGAGAAAUGUCCUGGGGAUAAGUUGUGGGUUCUCCCACACGCUGGCUGUGUUAGAGAGGAGUAUACUGGAGGAUUUGUAUUCCCCGGUGAAGACUAGGAGGUCCAGGGCCUCAGAGACCAAUACUCACAAAAUCCUCCCAAAAACCUGUGCAAAAUGUAACUCUGAGAUUUAUACCUAUCAGGAGACCAAUGAUACUUGUAUUAUCAAUGAUGAACAUCUGUGUAAGUGUGAUAAUGAAUCAGAAUUAGCAGAUCCAGGAGUUGGACAGAGGGCGCGAUGUGAUAGUGAUGUGUUUGAAAGUGUUGAGGACUCAGAUCAAAGGAAAACCAAGGAAAAGUUGGGGGCGCCUCAGAUAAAUGAUGAACAUCAUGAGGAGGAAGAUAUAUGGGUGAAACAGGAGACUAUUCCUACCAGUGAAUCAGCAGGAAACAGUUUCUCAGAACAUCAAGGAAUGCAGAAGUGUCCAGGGUCAAAUAGGCUGUCAGCAACAAAAUCUGUCAGCUUUGUCAAUGAGGAGGAGGCAAGGAAGUACCUUGCCGAGCAAUACGAGGACAAAACAGAGGAAGAAGAAUGUCCUCAACAACAGGACACACCCUCCACCUCUACCCUGGGGAGUCUGUUGUCCUCGGUGCAGAUGUACCCAUCUGACGUGAUCAGCCAUAUUUCUGCCGUUCCUCAACAAAUGUCCUCCAUGACCAGUAAAGCUCUCAGUAGUAUCACCGAUAAACUGGGCUUCUCUGCAGACAACCGGCCGAGGGACACGACAUCAGAGAGCAGUGGGAUGGGCUCACAGCUCUUCCUGGCCUUUGAUACCUCCGAGGAGGAUCUCAGGUCUCAGGGAGUGGAGGCCCCAGACCCUCAGGGAGUGGAGGACCCAGACCCCCAGGCCUUGAUGGAGACUAGUUUUAUCAGUGACUCAGGCAUAGAGGGAAAUACAAAUAGGCUAUCACUGCGGACCAUAGAGGCCAAACAGGAAAACCUGAGUAAAAAGGCCACCAUUGACCAGCUUCAAGUUACCUCAGAAGCUACAGAGUCCUUAGUUACCUUGGAAACAGAGGUGUGGUCCUGGGGUAAAAAUAACAAAGGACAGCUGGGUCAUGGAGAUGAAAUUGAUAGGGAACGUCCCGAGGUGGUGAGGAUGCUUAUUGGGACGAAGGUGGUCAAGGUCUGUGGAGGGGGAUUCCACUCCCUAGCCCUGACCGCAGACUCAAAGGUUUACAGCUGGGGGUUAAAUGCAUCGGGUCAACUGGCCCGCACUGAUAACACAGCUAAACCGUGUCCUAUAAAGCUGAUGGACCGUUGCUAUGCCUGGGACAUAGCUGCAGGGGAGAAAUUCUCGGUGUUUCUGAUGGACCGAGAUGGAUUCCAACCAGAAAUCCACUACGUCGGGAAACACCCAUGUAGAGAUCUCUAUGUGCCAAUAUACAAAACAAACCGUCUGACCUGCUUGAAUUUCUUAAAACAAGCAGGCUGGGUGCGUGCAAUAUCAGCAGGAGAAGAUAACUCUGCCUGUAUUUCCUGCUGGAGUUUUACUGGAUUUACAGCUUCCCUGUUUGAGGUGGCGGCCGCUGAGAGGAGAUUUUACAGCUUUCUCAACUGUAUCCUCUCCUCUGUGGUCCACCCUCUCAAAGAAUCAAGUUUCUUCAGUACCCUGGAUGUGUUCCCGUACAAGUCCUGUACCCAGAACCUGCUGGCUGCAUUUGAGAAUAUCACCAAUCUGAUCGGGGAGAAGUCUGUGGACUUGACAAACAGGAUACGGUCCAUGGACAAUUUCUUGGAGGCUAAUUUCUUUGUGAGAUGUGAGGAGAUCAUCAGUGAGUUCAAGGUCCUUUCCAUCAGCUUCGCGGACAUGUUGGCCAUCGGAGGCUUUGAUUACUUGUGUAAAACUGGGAAACAGUUUUUUGAUUCCAUAGACAAGGAAUUACAGACUCUGCUAGAUGGAUCUAAAUAUAGCCAGAAAAACAAGGCCGAAAAACUACAGGUGCUAUUCGAUCGACCGUUCAGUCACAUCAAGGAAUACUGUCGACUCACCGAGAAGCUGGUCUGUAAUUAUGAAGCCGAAACUCUGGAGAACUGCCUGUUGAACAGGGUGACCCUACAGUGGCAGACCCUAAAGCGGACCACCAGCACUGACCACAGACAGGCCAAGAAUACCAAGGUCUUCUGGGAGGCCCUCAACUUCCCCAAACUGAUAGAUGCAGUGAAGAUACCCACACGGCGUUUGGUCCGGGGCAGCAGGGACCACCCCCUCUCUCUGUACGGGGCGGGGCGCAUGUCCACCCACGACUUUUUCCUCUUCAAUGACCUCUUUGUUCACGCCCAGCUUAAAAAGCAUCAGUUUGGUCAAUCAAAGUAUUCAGCAUUCCAAACCUACCCCUUGGAGACCCUAUGGGUUGAAACACCAGAAAAUGAAAAGCAAAGGAACUUAAUCUCCUUGAUCACGCCGGAGGAAACACUUGUAUUGUCUACCGCUGACAGCAACGGAAAGACGGAGUGGCUGAUCGCUCUGAACUCCACUAUAAACAAAGUUCUGAGUCGUCAGAAGUCUGUGACACGUAGAGGGAGCCAUGAUCGCUUGACUCCACCUGACAUCCGCUUUGCUAACCACCAGUUUAUAAAACAUGGCGUGUUCAAAGGGGCCACCUACUCCGGCUACUGGUUGUCUGGGAAGUUACACGGCUUUGGUGAGAUGAAGUGGGCAGAUGGACGGAAAUAUGUUGGACACUUCAAGGAGGGAUUACAGCAUGGACACGGCAAGUUAAUUCUAAAGCAGAAUGACGGGAGUGAGAGAACUCAGGAGGGGUACUGGAGAGAUGGACUCCUUCAUGGACUAGCUAAAGUCAGGUAUUCUAACGGUGACCUGUAUGAGGGAGCCUUUAAAGAUGGACAGAGACACGGUCAUGGCAUCUAUCGCCAGGGACAACACGCCUCAAUGGCCGCCAAUGUUUACAUCGGAGAGUGGGUGUCAGACAAAAAGCAUGGCUAUGGAAUCAUGGAUGAUGUCAUGAAAGGAGAGAAGUACAUGGGGAUGUGGCAGGAUGACGUCAGACAGGGCAGUGGAAUCGUGGUCACUCUGGACGGAAUGUACUUCGAGGGCAACUUCACCAACGACAAGCUGACGGGGUUUGGUUUGAUGAUGACGUAUGACAACAGCUGUUACGAGGGAGAGUUUGCAGGAAUUACACAGCUACAAGGAAAGGGCAAGCUGAGAAUGCCAAACCGUGACACCAUUGAGGGGAUGUUUAGUGGCUCGUGGAACGAAGGACUGAAAAUCAAUGGAGUCUUUAAGAAAGCUGAAUAUACAGACAGCAAGAAAACGGGACACAGACUCUCACAGAUCUUUGGCACCAUGGCCGUUCCUGCCAAUCAAAAGUGGGAGGGCAUGUUCCAGCAGUGUAUCAAUGUAUUCAGGGUCAAAGGUCAGGACCAACUUAAUACCCAGAAAGCCUGGGAAAAUGUGGCAGUUACUCUGUCAAAGGGGAAGAAGAACAUAAGAGAAAUCCAGGCAAAAUAUGAGGGAAUGCAGCUGACGUCAGAGUCUGUGUUUGUGGGACUGUGUGUGAUAGUGGGGACCUCACAACAGGUGGCCCUCAGGAGGGAGACAGAGGACAUCAGGGAGAUGGUGAGGAUACGAGUGAUGCCUAAUGAUGGGAUGAUUGAGAUGGUGAGUGGAAGUAAGAGAGAAGGGUUCAGACUGAAGGGAUCAGAUGUUGACUAUAUGUACUGGCCAAACAACCACCGAGUGAUCAUGGACAUGUCUCAGUCUGAGUAUUACAACACAGCCAAUACAACCUUGAUUCUCUCUGACAGUUCUGAGAGUCCACCAGGAUUCACUUUACUUCAGUUACUGACACCAACAACAUUCAGAGAAGUCCGAUUAGCAUGUGUCAGAAUGAACGACAGAGUCUAUAUAUCUAGUUCUACAUGCAGACAGUUAACUUGUUCAUCAAUUUUUCUCAAUUCUACUGUACACGGACCCUGUGGUAGUGGUGUUAGAGCAGGAGUAGAAUAUGACACUGCCAUCUGUUUUGUUUGUGACUUUUGGCCUCGGUCUGCCUCCUCGUGGAUAGACAGAUGUCACUCAUGGCCUGAUCCUGAAGUUGUCAAUGACAUUGUCAGAAAUGGAUGCCAUGUUGUAGCAAUAGGACACCCAUUAGGACCACAUGGAAAUAGAGAAUGGAGAAUUUCAUUUUCUCUGGCAGAAUAUAAACUAGUUUCAUCAAUGAACCACUGUCAGUUUUUGACUUAUGGAUUGUUAAAACUUUUCUUAAAAGAAGUAAUAAAUCACCAGUUAGAAGAAUCCAAUAAACUGUUGUGUUCCUAUCACAUGAAGACAACAGUUUUCUGGGCGAUUCAACAAAACACACUACCUAACUGGUGUCCACAAAAUCUCCUGGCCAGUUUCUGGGUCUGUUUUAAACUCCUCCUUAAAUGGGUGUAUGAGGGAGUUAGUCCAAAUUUUUUCAUCCCACAAAACAACCUGUUUCUGACAAAGGUCCAUGGCUCAGCACAAAACAGAUUAUUCCUACAGUUACAUGAAUUGUACAAGAAAGGUCUGGCCUGUCUGUUACAGAGUUCCUCAAUCAGGUCCUACAUCAUUGAUGUCCUGUACAAUCCUAGACUUUCUAUAUGUACAGAUGAAAGUAUAAUGAUGUCUGAAGUUGAUUAUGAUGUAGAACUUGUCAGGGAGUCCAAUAGAGCUGUUGUUUCUGAAGUAGAUCUAUUUGGUCUUACAAAAGCCAUACACACAAUAGAACAGUUGGUAGAGUCACCCCUGACACACUAUCAAGUUGUUACAUUACAGAGUGUUACAGCCUCUUUACUUCAGUGUACUGCAUUUCAAUUACAAAAAAUGUACACCAACACAGGUUACAACAAGCAGAUGUAUAUUGCAGACAAAAUGUCCUGUCACAUGCUGAAAUUAGCAGCCAAGUUAGGAUGUGUAUCUGACAUGUUGUACAUUGCCAUGUAUUAUUACAAGACACUUAGAUACAGGGAAGCCCUAUCUCUUAUAGAGAUGACCAAGGUCAAGUUAGCACAGCCAUAUCUGAUGUAUAGGGUACAUGUAGACAGAGAGAGGUAUACUGAGGCUGUAGGGGGACAGUCCUGGUCUACAAAGAUCAGACAGGCUGUAGCAAGAGAUAUCACACUUUACAAUGAAAUCUGUUAUAUCAGUGAACUAAUGUCAGAACAACAGUCUGCUCUACAGAACAAAGAUGAUGCAUUAUAUAUCCCAGUGUUUGUAAUGUUACACUUCCUAGAGUUCUUGUGUUACAGACACAUUGAUACAACAUUAUCACAAGCAGCUCUAGAUGAGCUACAGGUCCUAGUCCACCAUGAUCAGGGAUUGUAUGUAUGUGAUCUAUUUAGAGACAUCUCCUGGUAUAUCCUAGGGAUCUGUCAACAGAUCACAGGGAACCUCCAGGCUGCUCUAUACUCAUACCAACAGUCAUUCACACAGUAUCCGAUGCACAGAAUACAAACUGCUACACACAGGAGAAUACAGGACAUAGUUGGAACAAUCUCACACCAGUAAAUAAUUACCUAAAAUAUAGGAAACGUUCUGAGAUUGAAAGCUGGUAACAAACUUAGUAUAAUUAUGUAUAAAGAUAAGACAGAUUGUAUUACGACAUUCCUGCAUUAUGAUAAAUCAAUCCUUGAAUCACAAGAUACUUUGGGUCUAUUUCAGGGGUAUUUGACAACUGUACAUGUGACUUAUAUUUUUAUUUGUUAAAUUUCUGUUGUUUGUUAGCAGUAGAUGUAACAUAGCAUUGCCUCUAAGUUAUGCAUGACAGAAUGAGUGAGUAGUAAUACAUUGCAGUGCGUCUGGGUUUAGCAGUGUAAUACAAUACAGAUCAAUUUACUACAAUAUCCUUGAACUGAUAAAGACUGUGACUGACGGAAUGAAUGUACUAUGCUUUGCUAGUCCAGUUUGAAAUACUGUAUUAUGGUUUACAUUUCUUUAUCAACAGUGUACUGUACUGCUGUAUUUAUGCAAUGUUUAUUGUAUUUCUAAUUUUUUCGUAUUAAAACAAUGCACUGAAAGAAAGCAUUCUUUUUCAAAUGCACUGAUGUUUAAUCAAUGUCUUGACAUUUAUAUUUGCAAUCUACAGUAUAUGCAUUUGUUGCAAUACAUUUUAACUUUUUUUAUCAUGACGUUGUUUAUAUAUAUCUGCAAGUUGUGAAAAUAUGUAAAAGUCUCUAAAUCUUUCCACACAUAUGUUUUAUCUUUUAUACCAAAAAAAGGGAGGCUCAGGAGACAAAUAGCUCACCUGAGUAACAUUGGUCAUAACUCUAAUCAGCAAGCAGGAAUAUGUAUUUGGAAUCAAAAGACAUACUAUCUAGUUUAAUAAGAACAAAGGACUUUCUCUCUCUUUCUAUCUGUCUGUCUGUCUCUGUGUGUGUGUGUGUGUGUCUCUCUCUCUCUCUCUCUCUCUCUCUCUCUCUAAGGAGGUGAUAAACAAAAGUCUCAUACCAUGGUCCAGAGCUCUCUCCUAGAUAGAAGAUGAUCGUACAUGUUGAAUGUGGUUUGCUUACUUACCAGUCAAGUGAUUGAGAUGAAUUUCUCAAUUUCUACACCUUUCAAACGGAAAUCGACAGUCAAUAAACAAAUUAAACGAUGACAUGAAAGAACUUUAGACAGAAGUGGAAAGUGCAAAGGGGUCUAUCUACACGUAGGUAGAAUUGAGCAAUCUUUGCUUAUCAAGUUUCCAAUUCGGUCAUUCUUCCUUACCCUACCACAUGGUAUAAAUUUACACACGUGUAAACAUACAUUACCAUACAUUUUACCACAAAUGUUAUUUCUUCACUUGUCUCUAAAUUCCUUUAAAUGCCAUCACUAGCCCCAUACUGUGGCAUGGUUUGUUUACAUGUAAAAAUGAUGACUCCUGAUCUGCUUUUUGAGGUCGAUUUGCUUAAAGAUGAUUUAUUAGGAGAGAGUUUGGGGCAAGUUAAAUGACAACUACAUUUAUGAACAGUUGUAAACUGAAUGAACAAUUUUUAAUUGAUUAUUUGCACAGAAUGUGGUAUGAUAUAAUGUCAAUUAUAUUUGUUCACAGGGCUUCUAUAUAUGUCAUAGAGAGCACAGUGGAUAUGAACCCCUGUGAUCUGAUCAAACCUAGCAUAAUUCAUGCAAAGUAAAUUGCAAGUUUUUCAUAAUUGAAAUAUGCACUGUACAUUUUAUAGUUAUUUACAUGUAUAAUCAAACCCACUUUUAUUUAAUUGAGCUACACCAGCCAUAUUUAUCGUGUGAUUGUUAUUGUCACAACAAAUGCCCCAAUUCUGAUUGCCAUGAGAAACAGGCGAAUUUUUCAUUUUCUGUUAUGUUGUUGUUUUGUCUGUACAUAAUUUAGUCUGCACCAGCGGCCAAUCAGAAGUAAACUGAGUCCACCAAUAAGAAAGUUUGUGGUCAUGAACCGGGUAUGGUUUAUGCAUGACGUAGCUGACAGACUUGAACGUAAUGCUAUACCGGUAUUGAAAAAACCUCACCAAAUUCAUUUUGAUAAUAAUACUUCCCUCCAAUAAGAUACGGAGGAUUCUGACCCUAGCGGAGGAGCUGGAGACGAUCCCUCCUCACAGCAAGGGUAGGCUUACUGUGGAGUACUACCACCAGAUCAA